GGAGAGAUGCGAGAGUGGCUGAAUCGGCGUGCCUGGAAAGCACGUGUAGGGGUAACUCUACCGAGGGUUCGAAUCCCUCUCUCUCCGCCA
This 90-nucleotide transfer RNA is filed under the name Gemmatimonadota bacterium. RNAcentral's name for it is "Gemmatimonadetes bacterium (beach sand metagenome) tRNA-Ser". It matches the Rfam family "tRNA". From Rfam's summary of the family: Transfer RNA (tRNA) molecules are approximately 80 nucleotides in length. Their secondary structure includes four short double-helical elements and three loops (D, anti-codon, and T loops). Lineage: Bacteria; Pseudomonadati; Gemmatimonadota. The record is from RNAcentral.